AUCCCUGUGGCUCAGUUGGUAGAGCAUGGUGUUUGCAACGCCAGCAUGGUGUGUGCAACGCCAGGGUUGUAGGUUCGAUUCCCACGGGGGGCC
Non-coding RNA from Salmo salar (Atlantic salmon), 93 nucleotides. Lineage: Eukaryota; Metazoa; Chordata; Actinopteri; Salmoniformes; Salmonidae. The record is from Rfam.